RNAcentral lists this ribosomal RNA (482 nucleotides) under uncultured bacterium. Its description in RNAcentral is "bacterial SSU rRNA". It matches the Rfam family "Bacterial small subunit ribosomal RNA", at positions 30 to 507 of the family's 1533-position model. The record is from RNAcentral.
AUUGAACGCUGGCGGAAUGCUUUACACAUGCAAGUCGAACGGCAGCACGGGGCAACCUGGUGGCGAGUGGCGAACGGGUGAGUAAUACAUCGGAACGUGCCCAAUCGUGGGGGAUAACGUAGCGAAAGUUACGCUAAUACCGCAUACGAUCUACGGAUGAAAGCGGGGGAUCGCAAGACCUCGCGCGAAUGGAGCGGCCGAUGUCAGAUUAGGUAGUUGGUGGGGUAAAGGCUCACCAAGCCGACGAUCUGUAGCUGGUCUGAGAGGGCGACCAGCCACACUGGGACUGAGACACGGCCCAGACUCCUACGGGAGGCAGCAGUGGGGAAUUUUGGACAAUGGGCGCAAGCCUGAUCCAGCCAUUCCGCGUGCAGGAUGAAGGCCUUCGGGUUGUAAACUGCUUUUGUACGGAACGAAAAGGCUCUGGUUAAUACCUGGAGUUUAUGACGGUACCGUAAGAAUAAGCACCGGCUAACUACGUG